GACUGGAGUCUGCAACCCGACUCCACGAAGCUGGAUUCGCUAGUAAUCGCGCAUCAGCCACGGCGCGGUGAAUACGUUCCCGGGCCUUGUACACACCGCCCGUCAAGCCAUGGGAGCCGGGGGUACCUGAAGUGCGUAACCGCGAGGAUCGCCCUAGGGUAAAACUGGUGACUGGGGGCUAAGUCGUAACAAGGUAGC
RNAcentral lists this ribosomal RNA (198 nucleotides) under uncultured bacterium. Its description in RNAcentral is "partial 16S ribosomal RNA". It matches the Rfam family "Bacterial small subunit ribosomal RNA", at positions 1296 to 1500 of the family's 1533-position model. The record is from RNAcentral.